This 675-nucleotide ribosomal RNA is filed under the name Rhodococcus (subgen. Prescottella) equi. RNAcentral describes it as "Prescottella equi bacterial SSU rRNA". It matches the Rfam family "Bacterial small subunit ribosomal RNA", at positions 56 to 747 of the family's 1533-position model. The record is from RNAcentral. Lineage: Bacteria; Bacillati; Actinomycetota; Actinomycetes; Mycobacteriales; Nocardiaceae.
UGCAGUCGAACGGUAAGGCCCCUUCGGGGGUACACGAGUGGCGAACGGGUGAGUAACACGUGGGUGAUCUGCCCUGCACUCUGGGAUAAGCCUGGGAAACUGGGUCUAAUACCGGAUAUGAGCUCCUGUCGCAUGGCGGGGGUUGGAAAGGUUUACUGGUGCAGGAUGGGCCCGCGGCCUAUCAGCUUGUUGGUGGGGUAAUGGCCUACCAAGGCGACGACGGGUAGCCGGCCUGAGAGGGCGACCGGCCACACUGGGACUGAGACACGGCCCAGACUCCUACGGGAGGCAGCAGUGGGGAAUAUUGCACAAUGGGCGAAAGCCUGAUGCAGCGACGCCGCGUGAGGGAUGACGGCCUUCGGGUUGUAAACCUCUUUCAGCAGGGACGAAGCGAGAGUGACGGUACCUGCAGAAGAAGCACCGGCCAACUACGUGCCAGCAGCCGCGGUAAUACGUAGGGUGCGAGCGUUGUCCGGAAUUACUGGGCGUAAAGAGCUCGUAGGCGGUUUGUCGCGUCGUCCGUGAAAACUUGGGGCUCAACCCCAAGCUUGCGGGCGAUACGGGCAGACUUGAGUACUGCAGGGGAGACUGGAAUUCCUGGUGUAGCGGUGAAAUGCGCAGAUAUCAGGAGGAACACCGGUGGCGAAGGCGGGUCUCUGGGCAGUAACUGACGCU